GAUGAACGCUGGCGGCGUGCCUAACACAUGCAAGUCGAACGGGUGUGGUAUCAGGGAAAAGGGGUUUACUUCUUUGACCAGAUAACACACUAGUGGCGGACGGGUGAGUAACGCGUGGAUAACCUGCCUUAUACAGGGGGAUAACAGGGAGAAAUUCUUGCUAAUACCCCAUAGGUAUGUCUGACGCAUGUUGGACAUAUUAAAGCUUUGGCGGUAUAAGAUGGGUCCGCGUCUGAUUAGCUAGUUGGUGGGGUAAAGGCCCACCAAGGCGACGAUCAGUAGCCGGCUUGAGAGAGUGGACGGCCACAUUGGGACUGAGACACGGCCCAAACUCCUACGGGAGGCAGCAGUGGGGAAUAUUGCACAAUGGGGGAAACCCUGAUGCAGCGACGCCGCGUGAAGGAAGAAGGUCUUCGGAUCGUAAACUUCUAUCAGCAGGGAAGAAGGAAGUGACAGUACCUGAGUAAGAAGCCCCGGCUAACUACGUG
Molecule: ribosomal RNA, 488 nt
Filed under: uncultured bacterium
Lineage: Bacteria
Also listed under: 1 other name
Description: bacterial SSU rRNA
Rfam family: Bacterial small subunit ribosomal RNA
Source: RNAcentral